This 27-nucleotide non-coding RNA is filed under the name Rattus norvegicus (Norway rat). Lineage: Eukaryota; Metazoa; Chordata; Mammalia; Rodentia; Muridae. The record is from RNAcentral.
AUAAAGCCUCCCAUGUUUUUCCGAUGC